GGAGCCUACGGGGCGCAGCAGUGGGGAAUAUUGCACAAUGGGGGAAACCCUGAUGCAGCAACGCCGCGUGAAGGAAGACGGUUUUCGGAUUGUAAACUUCUGUUCUUAGUGAAGAAGAAUGACGGUAGCUAAGGAGCAAGCCACGGCUAACUACGUGCCAGCAGCCGCGGUAAUACGUAGGUGGCAAGCGUUGUCCGGAAUUACUGGGUGUAAAGGGAGCGCAGGCGGGAAGCCAAGUCAGCUGUGAAAACUACGGGCUUAACUUGUAGCAUGCAGUUGAAAAUGGUUUUCUUGAGAGAAGUAGG
RNAcentral lists this ribosomal RNA (305 nucleotides) under uncultured bacterium. Its description in RNAcentral is "bacterial SSU rRNA". It matches the Rfam family "Bacterial small subunit ribosomal RNA", at positions 333 to 655 of the family's 1533-position model. The record is from RNAcentral.